AGUGAACGCUGGCGGUAGGCCUAACACAUGCAAGUCGAACGGCAGCACAGUAAGAGCUUGCUCUUACGGGUGGCGAGUGGCGGACGGGUGAGGAAUACAUCGGCAUCUACUUUUUCGUGGGGGAUAACGUAGGGAAACUUACGCUAAUACCGCAUACGACCUACGGGUGAAAGCAGUGGAUCUUCGGACCUUGCGCGAUUGAAUGAGCCGAUGUCGGAUUAGCUAGUUGGCGGGGUAAAGGCCCACCAAGGCGACGAUCCGUAGCUGGUCUGAGAGGAUGAUCAGCCACACUGGAACUGAGACACGGUCCAGACUCCUACGGGAGGCAGCAGUGGGGAAUAUUGGACAAUGGGCGCAAGCCUGAUCCAGCCAUACCGCGUGGGUGAAGAAGGCCUUCGGGUUGUAAAGCCCUUUUGUUGGGAAAGAAAAGCAGCAGGUUAAUACCCCGCUGUUCUGACGGUACCCAAAGAAUAAGCACCGGCUAACUUCGUG
RNAcentral lists this ribosomal RNA (492 nucleotides) under uncultured bacterium. RNAcentral describes it as "partial 16S ribosomal RNA". It matches the Rfam family "Bacterial small subunit ribosomal RNA", at positions 29 to 507 of the family's 1533-position model. The record is from RNAcentral.